UACGUAGGGCGCGAGCGUUAUCCGGAAUUAUUGGGCGUAAAGAGCUCGUAGGCGGUUUGUCACGUCUGCUGUGAAAACUGGAGGCUCAACCUCCAGCCUGCAGUGGGUACGGGCAGACUAGAGUGUGGUAGGGGAGACUGGAAUUCCUGGUGUAGCGGUGAAAUGCGCAGAUAUCAGGAGGAACACCGAUGGCGAAGGCAGGUCUCUGGGCCACUACUGACGCUGAGAAGCGAAAGCAUGGGGAGCGAACAGG
This 253-nucleotide ribosomal RNA is filed under the name uncultured bacterium. Its description in RNAcentral is "partial 16S ribosomal RNA". It matches the Rfam family "Bacterial small subunit ribosomal RNA", at positions 524 to 776 of the family's 1533-position model. The record is from RNAcentral.